UACGGGGGGCAAGCGUUGUUCGGAAUUACUGGGCGUAAAGGCGCGUAGGCGGUUGUUAAGUUGGAUGUGAAACUCUGGCUUAACCCAGAGCCUGCAUCCAAAACUGGCAGGCUAGAGUUUGGAGGGAAGCGGAAGUUCCUGUGAGCAGUGAAAUGCGUAGAUAUCAGGAGGAACACCGGUGCGAAGGCGCUCCUGGACAAAACUGACGCUGAGGCGCGAAAGCUAGGGAGCAAACAGG
This 238-nucleotide ribosomal RNA is filed under the name uncultured bacterium. RNAcentral describes it as "partial 16S ribosomal RNA". It matches the Rfam family "Bacterial small subunit ribosomal RNA", at positions 526 to 776 of the family's 1533-position model. The record is from RNAcentral.